Long non-coding RNA from Culex quinquefasciatus (southern house mosquito), 516 nucleotides. RefSeq lists it as uncharacterized. The transcript has 3 exons. The record is from RefSeq and is a predicted model, not a curated record. Lineage: Eukaryota; Metazoa; Arthropoda; Insecta; Diptera; Culicidae.
GCACUCCACUCUGGUCGUUUCGGUUGAGCUCGCAAAUCAAGCCGCAAAUCUAACAUCUUUUGUGAUGAAUAAAAUAAGCUGUAGAAAGAUUGAUCAAACUAACCCCAUAUCACAGUAGCAAAGCAAUCUACACCAGACCGGGAACAGCAGCCAGCCAGAUUUCCAGUCCGGAGAGCACUCUGCACAGUGGAUCUUGAUUGUUUCGAUUGAAAAGCUACCCAACGUUAUUGCAUCGGAACGCCAUCAUCAAGAGCCAGAAGUCAACCGAUAGAACGAACAUAAAUUAAACUGAAUUACUGUGCAGAGUAAAAACAUACACACGAGCAGACAGACAGAAGAACCCACAAAGCUAAUUACAAGCCCCGAAAUGGGCCCACGGUCUGAUCCAGUACACAAAGAACCACUAACUAAUGGAACGAGCUGGAGAACAUACAUGAUGUAAUGGAAAAGCCCAAAAUGAAUUGAACACUUCUUUCCUGUUUACGAACCUUGUAAACCAUUUUAUUUUUAAUUUAC